CCAACCUCCGUUCCAGCUUCUGCCCAUGACGCUCCUCUCUGCCUCUCCCGCUCUCCUCCUUCCUGCCAAAUGUCAGCUGCCCUUUGAGACACACAGCACAUCUUUAAGUGGAUUCACAGCUGUCCGUGAAGACAGGUGCGCUGUCAUCGAGACGGGAAACGACACGUGGCCCACGCCCACUCAUUUGCAGUGUCUCACUAGGGGCGUCCUGGCCCUGUGCGCCUAAGCACACACGACAGACCCGUGAGAGGACGGGAGAAGAGGAAACCUCAAGACUGAGCGAGUGCUUAGCCCUGCACCAGAGGUUUGCAUUUAUUAUCUAUCGUCACCGUCACUGAGGUUCAGAAACUUUAAGGGACUUGUCGGAGACCACGGCCAUUAAGCGGCAAGUGGAGAAGUGAACAUGGACGUGUCUGACUCUAACAUCUAUGGACUUUCCACCCAAAUCCUCACCCUCGGCAGGAAGGUGGGGCUUAGCACUCAGAACGGGGGGCCUGGCAGGCCCAGCUUUCCUCUACUUGAAGAGCAGAAGGGGGUGACGUAUUCAUUAAAGGUCGGAGGACGCCAUGAUUUAAAAAUCGGGGUGAGCACUAACCAGAGGAGAAGGGAGUGCGAGGGACUUAACUAGAUCCACAGAAAUCCAGGCAGAGCCUCCCUUUCCGUCCUACCUGGGGCUGGCGCGGGAGCUGAAUCAUUGCCUCAAUGAGCAGAAAUAAACCCUCCAAGGAGAGGACACCAGUGGGAGACUCCACACUUGUGCCCAGCAGUCCAAAGCGAUGGUGUUUCCUAGUCAAACAUUCUUAUUUCUGUGGCCCAACCAGGCUCCACCGAUUGGCCCCUACCAGGCAGCCUGAUCACAUUUCCCAGCUCUCCCCACAUUCACUAAGUCUAGCCUCACUGUCUUUGUUUUGUGUUCUUCAAACCACCAAGCUUGCUUCUGCCACAGGGCCUUUGCACAUGCUCUUCUUUCUGCUGGAAAGUUUCCCCCAGAUGUCCCCACGGCUGGUUCCUUCCUCUCAUUCACAUGUCACUCAGUUUACACAUCCCUGCCUUAGUGAGGCCUUCCUUGACCACCUACUCCACUGUCCCAUCAUCUUACUCUGCUUUCUUUAUUGCAUUCUAUUAGCACCUGGCAUUUUCUUAUUUAGUUGUUUGGUAUUGCCUGUCUCCCCUCAACUACAUUCUUGCCCCUCUGGAGAAUAAGAAUCAGAUGGUCUUGUGCCCUGCUAUAUCCCAGAGCCUGGCGCAAACCUGGUGCAUACAAGGAGCCCCAUCAAUGCUCAGUGAGUGAAUAAAUGCCCAACAAGCUCAAGACACUGCAACGGAAGCAGACAGGUGGGUGGGGCUUCACCAGCUGAAGUGUGGUCCAGCAGAGAACCCUGACUCCUGGGGGGACACAAACAACAACAACCACACAACAGAGAGCUGUGGGUGAGGCCUCUUCCCCUGCACAGUCAGAGCUGCCUUGUGGCCGGAGCCGGUCAUGGGUGUCAUGAGUGGACAGUGACUGUUGCAGCACUUCCAGAAGCUGAUUGAGAUUUUCCUUUGGGGGGGGGGGGCGCCUCUGUCUCAUCUUUUCCCAUGUUCUGUUGUGAAUGACACAGGUGUAGGUUCCAGAAGAGAAAGAGAGGUGCCGCUCACUCUCCCAGGGCGAUGUCUGUGCUGGUCCUGCCUGAGGCCGGGCUAAGCUGCCAGGCUCUGGUCAAUUCGCCACUCGCGCUCAACAUCCACACAGCCCUGGCCUUGCCGUCUGCUGGGGGCCCGAGGCAGGUGGCUUUGUUUAGAGGGCUCUCUCCGUUCCCAAGCCCUCCGCCCCGAGCCACGCACGGGCCGGGGCCAAAGAAGAAUCCCGCUCCGGAGCUCGGCCCCCAGGAGCCUGCGGCCCAGGGAGACGGGUCUCCAGGGCCUGAGUCGACUCUGGGGUUUACACAAACGGAUCUACCCUUGUUCUCGCCCUGACGGGGGACCUAGACUGUGGAGGAGGCAUGCUGGGCCCCGAAUUCCACCCCACGCAGACUGCACUGCCUCGAGGAACGGGAAUUGUCUGCGCUGGAAUCGUGACUCCUAGACGGGUGACCUGGAUCCGAAUCUCUGAAUUUCCACGUCCUCAUCUGUAAGAUGAAGGCUGGUGUCCUUUCCUCCCUCAUGCCUUUGGCCAACGCUGAUGGAGCAUCCGCCCUGUCUAGGGCACUGUGCUCGGGGUGGCGCCUUCACCUGGAGAAUCUUGCGAGAAAUACAGAGACCUCCGCUAGGUGAGUGAGUGAUUUCACCCCCACAGCCUCUGUUUCCCAAAGUGAACGAAAGGGUCUAAUGCCCCACUUCUCAGGCCGGCUUGGAGUAUUUAAAAAGAAACUGUAUCCAACUCUGGAGAAUUGCUUUCGGGCAAAAUAAAGUAACAAACAAAAAUAAAA
Long non-coding RNA from Equus quagga, 2411 nucleotides. RefSeq lists it as uncharacterized. The record is from RefSeq and is a predicted model, not a curated record. The transcript has 2 exons. NCBI's taxonomy places the organism in Eukaryota, Metazoa, Chordata, Mammalia, Perissodactyla, Equidae.